Non-coding RNA from Chiloscyllium plagiosum (whitespotted bambooshark), 103 nucleotides. The record is from RefSeq and is a predicted model, not a curated record. Lineage: Eukaryota; Metazoa; Chordata; Chondrichthyes; Orectolobiformes; Hemiscylliidae.
GAACUUUAGCAGCACAUUUACUAAAACUCGAAAGAUACAGAGAGGAUUAACAUGGCCCCUCCGCUAGGAUGAUACAAAUUUGUGAAACAUUCAAAAAGUGGGU